GACAGAGGGUGCAAACGUUGUUCGGAAUUACUGGGCGUAAAGCGAGUGUAGGCGGUUUGGAAAGUCGGAUGUGAAAGCCCCGGGCUCAACCCGGGAAGUGCACUCGAUACUCCCAAGCUAGAGUAUGGGAGAGGUUGGUGGAAUUCUCGGUGUAGAGGUGAAAUUCGUAGAUAUCGAGAGGAACACCGGUGGCGAAGGCGGCCAACUGGACCAAUACUGACGCUGAGACUCGAAAGCGUGGGGAGCAAACAGG
Molecule: ribosomal RNA, 253 nt
Filed under: uncultured bacterium
Lineage: Bacteria
Also listed under: 1 other name
Description: partial 16S ribosomal RNA
Rfam family: Bacterial small subunit ribosomal RNA
Source: RNAcentral